Molecule: long non-coding RNA, 315 nt
Filed under: Brassica napus (rape)
Lineage: Eukaryota; Viridiplantae; Streptophyta; Magnoliopsida; Brassicales; Brassicaceae
Description: long non-coding RNA (BNAP_LNC010846)
Source: RNAcentral
UUGUAUGAAACUGAUCAAGGUGUAUGUUUUGUAAUGUUUUUGAUUGUAUUAUGUUUUGUAAUGAUCAAGGUUCACAUGUGUUCUCCAUAUGAGAUUUUAACCUUGUUAUAACUUGCACCAAAUUUUAAAUGAUCAAGGUUCACAUGUGUUCUCCAUAUGAGAUUUGUACUCAAUGGUCACAUAUAUUUGUUUGUUUCUUCCACAAGAAAACAAGCUAGUAUCACAAGAUGGAUACUUCUAAAAAAAUAAGCAUCACGGGAGUUUCACACAUCAAAUAUCACAUACACAAAUCGUCCCUCUUCUACUCAUUUCCAA